Molecule: ribosomal RNA, 252 nt
Filed under: uncultured bacterium
Lineage: Bacteria
Description: partial 16S ribosomal RNA
Rfam family: Bacterial small subunit ribosomal RNA
Source: RNAcentral
UACGGAGGAUGCGAGCGUUAUCCGGAUUUAUUGGGUUUAAAGGGUGCGUAGGCGGUCUGUUAAGUCAGCGGUAAAAUUGCGGGGCUCAACCCCGUCGAGCCGUUGAAACUGGCAGACUUGAGUUGGCGAGAAGUACGCGGAAUGCGCGGUGUAGCGGUGAAAUGCAUAGAUAUCGCGCAGAACUCCGAUUGCGAAGGCAGCGUACCGGCGCCACACUGACGCUGAGGCACGAAAGCGUGGGGAGCAAACAGG